AGUUUCUCUUUAGGAUUGAGAGGAGAUGCAGGAAGAUAAUAAACAGGCAGGACAGAAAAAUAGUCAAAUAAAAACAAGUUAGUUUUUGUACCUGCUGGUUGCAACAAACAGACACCAUUGAAGGUAAUCAGAAGUGAGGAACAGAAAAUGAAAUAAUUAUUUUAAUGUUUAGAGCAGCAGGAACUCUGAGAGGCUCCAGGCGCAUCAGUGAGUUUGUGGCCGCUGCACAGGGGGAGGGGGGAGAGGGCUGAAGCAGAAACUACCAUUGUUAAAGAGCAAGUAACGUCUAAAUUAACUUUUUUUUUUGCUGAUGAACUGUAUAAAUGAGUGUCUAAUAGUGUUUUAAAUGUGUGUAUUCAUUAUUUUAGCAUUUUGGAGCAUUUUCUUUAAAAAUUAAAAAUUCUGCCUAAAUAUCACAGUAUAGCUCCACCUUCAGCUUAAAACAUAGAAUUUGACUCAUUUUGAAUAAAUUUUAGCCAAUGGCUAAAGAGUAAGAUACUACGUAAACCAGUAGAGUACUACGUAGCAGCUCUGUGUCAAAGUUAUAAAAGCAUCGAGAGUCUCGGCCACGCCUUGUGGCCAGUUGGGAGUUGGAUUUGCAAGCGAGUGUAGGAGGUUAGCCGUAGUUCAGCAUUAGCAUAUCCUAGUCUUUAGCAUAGCUUUUAGUGUUAUAAAUACUUAUUUAUUACAAUGAUCACACACUAGGAAUGUUAUAAAGUGCCUAUAUAGGACAGUUUCUUUUGUAUAUUAUCUGACUUUAUAAACUCCAACAACGAUGUGCUUCUAUUUUUUUUUUCAGGCUGAAUCUACCCAAGACAUUGGCUGUCAGACUGAUUUAGCUGCAAGAAUGCACUUGUCCAGGCUGACGUGAAGCCUUACCCGUAGCAAAGCCACCCAGUUUAGAGCUCCCAGCCGCAGUGUGUCUUGUGACACGGGGACCAUGACGGAAAUUCAUCUUCCAGAAAGUCCCAGAGCAGCGUCCACACCCCUGAAAAGACCAAGAUGUGAGGUGUCUGCUGUUGAUUCCAGCUUCCACCUCAGUGGCAGUGCAAGCUCAGCGAACUGUUCAAGGUAAAACAAAUUAAAACAUUUCAGAAUUUUUAAGAUAUUAACAAUUAAAUAAGUAUGUGAUUACAUCAUGACAUCAUGAAGGAGGCUACUGAUUCUGCCCCUGUGAUACUUGGUGGUGACGUGUGAGCUGAUUCACCUGGUAAAUAACUUCUACAUUAAAUAUUUUGUUUUUGCUAUCAAAAGUAAAUUAACUAAUAACCUGCAUUAUUGCAGGACACUCAGCAAAAUAUGGACUCUACACCAUGAGGCAGGCACACGUUAAUACUCUAUAAGAGCACAUAAGCCUGGCUGAUCACCUGAUAACUCCUGUCAUCUGGUUGUGACAGCAUGAGGAUGUCCUCACACACCUGUAACCUAUCAGCUCAUCUGGCAGAAUAGAGAGAGAAGAGACAACACCACAUCUCCUGUUCCUGGAAAGCCUUCAGCCAUCCUUCGAUGACUGAGAAUCUCCAUCAGCUCUGUCUCCUGUCUGCCUACAAUUAUUAUAAUAAAUAUUGUGUUUGACAAGUUUUUUGUGCUGCCAAAUGUCUCAUUUUGAUUCCAGUUUUGAUAUUUUAAUGGAUAUUUAUAAAUUACAUUGAUUAUCACAUUGUUGCAUGUUUAAUGAGCUCUAUUGUGAUGAAUUAAACUAGCACCUCACUGUUAAAAGCUCGUUUUAAUUUCAAGCAUGUUUAAGUAUUUAUGGACAUGAACAAAAACAGGAAAUAUAUAAAUUGAGA
Nothobranchius furzeri (turquoise killifish) is the source of this 1790-nucleotide non-coding RNA. The record is from RefSeq and is a predicted model, not a curated record. NCBI's taxonomy places the organism in Eukaryota, Metazoa, Chordata, Actinopteri, Cyprinodontiformes, Nothobranchiidae.